UUUUUUGUAAAUGAAUGAUGGUGACUUAAACCCUCACCAGAGUACCAAUUGGAGGGCAAGUCUGGUGCCAGCAGCCGCGGUAAUUCCAGCUCCAAUAGCGUAUAUUAAACUUGUUGCAGUUAAAAAGCUCGUAGUUGAAUUUCAGCGUUUCGCGUGUGCCUCUUUUGGCCCAUCUCGUCUCGCUUUUUUUAUUACUUUGAGAAAAUUAGAGUGUUUCAAGCAGGCUUUUGUCUUGAAUACUUGAGCAUGGAAUAAUAGAGUAGGACCUUGGUUCUAUUUUGUUGGUUUUGUUACCUUGGUAAUGGUUAAUAGGAACGGUUGGGGGCAUUCGUAUUUAACUGUCAGAGGUGAAAUUCUUAGAUUUGUUAAAGACGAACUACUGCGAAAGCAUUUGCCAAG
This 399-nucleotide ribosomal RNA is filed under the name Babesia occultans. RNAcentral's name for it is "SSU rRNA". It matches the Rfam family "Eukaryotic small subunit ribosomal RNA", at positions 500 to 962 of the family's 1831-position model. Lineage: Eukaryota; Apicomplexa; Aconoidasida; Piroplasmida; Babesiidae. The record is from RNAcentral.